Molecule: ribosomal RNA, 655 nt
Filed under: uncultured Cortinarius
Lineage: Eukaryota; Fungi; Basidiomycota; Agaricomycetes; Agaricales; Cortinariaceae
Description: eukaryotic LSU rRNA
Rfam family: 5.8S ribosomal RNA (bases 232-385)
Source: RNAcentral
UGAAAUAAACCUGAUGAGUUGCUGCUGGUUCUCUAGGGAGCAUGUGCACACUUGUCAUCUUUAUAUCUCCACCUGUGAACCUUUUGUAGACCUGGAUUAUCUCUCUGAAUCUGCUUGUCAAAUUCAGGUUUGAGGAUUGAUUUCCUUGCAUUUUCAGGUCUAUGUUUUUCAUAUACCCCAUGUAUGUUUUUAGAAUGUAAUAAAUUGGCCUUUGUGCCUAUAAACUUAUACAACUUUCAGCAACGGAUCUCUUGGCUCUCGCAUCGAUGAAGAACGCAGCGAAAUGCGAUAAGUAAUGUGAAUUGCAGAAUUCAGUGAAUCAUCGAAUCUUUGAACGCACCUUGCGCUCCUUGGUAUUCCGAGGAGCAUGCCUGUUUGAGUGUCAUUAAUAUAUCAACCCUCUUCAGCUUUUGGCAUGUCGAGUGUUGGAUGUGGGGGUUAUUUUUUGCUGGCCUUUUUCGAGGUCAGCUCCCCUAAAAUACAUUAGCAAAACAAUUUGUUUACUGCUCAUUGGUGUGAUAAUUAUCUACGCUAUUGGCAGUAAAGUAACAGUUUAGCUCCUAAUAGUCCAUUGACUUGGACAAACUUUCAUCAAUGUGACCUCAAAUCAGGUAGGAUUACCCGCUGAACUUAAGCAUAUCAAUAAGCGGAGGAA